Molecule: ribosomal RNA, 250 nt
Filed under: uncultured bacterium
Lineage: Bacteria
Also listed under: 1 other name
Description: partial 16S ribosomal RNA
Rfam family: Bacterial small subunit ribosomal RNA
Source: RNAcentral
UACGUAGGGCGCGAGCGUUGUCCGGAAUUAUUGGGCGUAAAGAGCUUGUAGGCGGUUUGUCGCGUCUGCUGUGAAAGGCCGGGGCUUAACCCCGUGUAUUGCAGUGGGUACGGGCAGACUAGAGUGCAGUAGGGGAGACUGGAACUCCUGGUGUAGCGGUGGAAUGCGCAGAUAUCAGGAAGAACACCGAUGGCGAAGGCAGGUCUCUGGGCUGUAACUGACGCUGAGAAGCGAAAGCAUGGGGAGCGAA